CCUACGGGAGGCAGCAGUGGGGAAUAUUGCGCAAUGGGCGAAAGCCUGACGCAGCGACGCCGCGUGAGGGAUGAAGGUCUUCGGAUCGUAAACCUCUGUCAGCAGGGAAGAACGGUCACUGUGCUAAUCAGCAGUGAAUUGACGGUACCUGCAAAGGCAGCACCGGCUAACUCCGUGCCAGCAGCCGCGGUAAUACGGAGGGUGCGAGCGUUAAUCGGAAUUACUGGGCGUAAAGCGCUCGUCGGCGGUAUGUCAAGUCAAGGGUGAAAUCCCCGCGCUCAACGUGGGAACUGCCUUUGAAACUGGUAAACUGGAGUGUGUGAGAGGAUAGUGGAAUUCCAGGUGUAGGAGUGAAAGCCGUAGAUAUCUGGAGGAACAUCAGUGGCGAAGGCGACUAUCUGGCACAUAACUGACGCUGAGGAGCGAAAGCGUGGGUAGCAAACAGGAUUAGAUACCCCAGUAGUC
Molecule: ribosomal RNA, 465 nt
Filed under: uncultured bacterium
Lineage: Bacteria
Description: partial 16S ribosomal RNA
Rfam family: Bacterial small subunit ribosomal RNA
Source: RNAcentral